GAGCAAUGUUUAAACGUUGAGCGCUGUGCCGCCGCGAAAAUGAUGAUCCCAUACCGUCCCUCUACCCGAACUUAAGAGUAGAAUUAUUAAAGGUAAUGUAAAAUUGUAGAGCUGCUUAUGUCCUAAAUUGUAAAAUAAAAUUCUGAAUAAAAAAGGUAAUUACCGCGAUAUCUUAAUGAUUAUAAUUUCGUGAAACACCCUGACAAGAGCCGAGAUCGGAUAAACCUCAGAAUUUCCGCUUAGGAUAUAGAUGGGAAUACAUGUAUAAAUGUAAGUAACGAUAAACCAUUGCUAAAGAAAAAAUGAUUCUAAGAGGUCGAUAGUGUUGUUUUAUAUGUCAUUGU
Molecule: non-coding RNA, 344 nt
Organism: Cinara cedri
Lineage: Eukaryota; Metazoa; Arthropoda; Insecta; Hemiptera; Aphididae
Source: the annotation of a GenBank genome assembly